This 253-nucleotide ribosomal RNA is filed under the name uncultured bacterium. Its description in RNAcentral is "partial 16S ribosomal RNA". It matches the Rfam family "Bacterial small subunit ribosomal RNA", at positions 524 to 776 of the family's 1533-position model. The record is from RNAcentral.
UACGGAGGAUCCAAGCGUUAUCCGGAUUCAUUGGGCUUAAAGGGUGCGUAGGCGGCUUUGUAAGUCAGUGGUGAAAGCCAGCAGCUUAACUGUUGAACUGCCAUUGAUACUGCAAGUCUUGAGUACAUUUGAUGUGGGCGGAAUGUGUCAUGUAGCGGUGAAAUGCUUAGAUAUGACACAGAACACCGAUUGCGAAGGCAGCUCACAAAGCUGUAACUGACGCUGAGGCACGACAGCGUGGGGAUCAAACAGG